RNAcentral lists this transfer RNA (63 nucleotides) under Hesperus amabilis. RNAcentral describes it as "tRNA-Cys". The record is from RNAcentral. Lineage: Eukaryota; Metazoa; Arthropoda; Insecta; Coleoptera; Staphylinidae.
AGUUUUAUAGUCAAAAAUGAUUUUAAAUUGCAAAUUUAAAGGUAGGUGUAAUCCUUAAGGCUU